This is a long non-coding RNA of Homo sapiens (human), 1687 nucleotides long. RefSeq lists it as uncharacterized. The transcript is spliced from 3 exons. The record is from RefSeq and is a predicted model, not a curated record. NCBI's taxonomy places the organism in Eukaryota, Metazoa, Chordata, Mammalia, Primates, Hominidae.
UGGAGGGAUUAAUGACCUUAUAAAAGAGACUCCAGAAAGCUAGCUUGUCCUAUUUCUGCCAUGUGAGGACACAACAAGACAGUAGUCAUGUGCAGCCCAGAAGAGGGUCCGCACCAGAACCCAACCAUGCUGGGACCCUGAUCUCAAACUGGCAACCUGCAGAACUCUAAGAAAUGCCUCCUGUUUAUAAGCCACCAGUUUAUGGGACUUUGUUAUAAGCAGCCCAAGCUAAGGCAUAUGGGCAAUGAAAAUAUCAGAAUUGUUUGAAACUUUAAUCUAUUGUAAUAACUCCUUUCACAUUGUGUAUAAUACGUCGGUUUAACAAUAUGUAAUAAAAUUUUAAAACAAGGCAUCUAUUCCAAGAAUUAAUUAAUUAUAUUAAUUGAACAGACACUUACUAAUUCAUUCAACAAAUUGCUGAACACCUGAUAUGUGCCAGAUAUUUUUCUAGGUGCUGGAGAUACAGCAGUGAAAACAAAGAGCAAACCCUGACCCUUGUGAAGUGAAUUGUCAGGAGCUCAGCUGAGCUGGGAGAGAGAGAGCUCUCAGAGUAGCCGGUUACAGCAACAAGCCAGAGAUAAAAGAACCGAGCCUUUAAUCACUCACGGCAAUGGUAAAAGCAAGAGCUUAAAGCAGUUUUAUGGACCCUGAAGCAGGAGGGCAGCGGCGAGAGCUUGGAGUGGACAAGUCCUGGGUGAUGAGUCAGAGUAGGGGAAUGUAUCAUCAAGGUCUCCCUCCUCCCCGCAUAAGGAGGUCUUGGCAAAGGCAUCUGAAAAGGACGUCUACCCAAGGUCUGCCAGAGACUAGCAAUGAAGACUCUGGGGCCAGGAAUGUAAACAUAGGAAAAGCAUGACUGACCGGGAGAGCCUGAGUCCUUGACUGCAACUUCCUUCAGAGACCGUGACCCACUGGCUGUGCACCAAAUGUCUCUCAGAGAGCAGCAGCUUUCUGUAUGAGGUCUGCCAGGGUCUCACUCUGUUACCCAGCCUGGAGUGCAGUAGUAUGAUUAUAGCUCCCGGCAACCUCGAACUCCUCGGCUCAGUUUCUGACAUUGGAAUUGCGGCAGUAAAGCCUUAUCACGCUAUGGUGAUCUUCAGACUAGCAUGUGAGUGGAAAUCUGGCUUUAAGUGUGGAAUCUGGACAUAAGGUCCCAGGUAGGGCUUUUUGUCUACCUCUAAGAGGCAGAAGUGUAAGCACAUAAAUCCAAACUUGCAGCCACAAUCAUAAAUCUUUACGAGAAAUUGGGCUUUGCUCAUGAAGUUGGUAAGGAGACCCUCUUGUCCCGUGCUUUUGUAUUCUCCUCUCCCAUCACAGCAAGUGUCUUGGGAAUGAAGGAAGGGGUUUUAGUUUAGUGUUUUGCAUUCCUCUGUUUGUUUCUUUGCAGAUAAAAUGUGUCUUUUUAUGGGCUUCCCAGUUGUAAAAGAAAUUCCAAUAAUUUAAGUUCUGGGUGUUUCAGGUUUUACAGUUCCGACUGUUUCCCCUCUACUUAGAGUAUAUAUUUCCGAAUACUAUGAUACACUCCCCUGUGCCUCAUUUCUUAUACAGAUGAUAGCCACUGAUAUUGAGUGGCCUCUGAAUAAACAGUGCAGUCAUAUUUUGCACUAAUUUGAAUUAGCAAAUUCGAAACAGUGAGAGAUGAAAAAUAUUAUUAAAGUCUCACUUUAUGCACACAAGUUGAAAUAAUGUA